AUGUACCCACCAUCCAAGUGUUCCACCUCUCAGGAGCAAUUGUCCUAUUGUAAAACAACAGUUAGUUGUUUCAUCUUCUCAGAUAGUCCCACGAAUCCACUUGUCGGACAGUCCAAUCAAUCCAAAAGAAAGAAAAAUCAUUUCAUAAUUAGUGAACAGUUACAGUGGGAAAAGACAAACAACAAUAGGAUCUUAAAAAAACUCCAUGCACAAAUUUUUAUAACUGCAGAUCCUCUCCCAUUCUCCACAUUCGUUUACGAAAGAAAUUCAAAAGUACCAAUCCAAACAAUUGGAGUCCAAAAGAACUGGAUCAUCCUACAUCUUUGGCCAAACUGCCUGGUUGCAGUUGAGAUAAUGACUUUCUCAAAAUGA
Molecule: ribosomal RNA, 372 nt
Filed under: Triticum aestivum (bread wheat)
Lineage: Eukaryota; Viridiplantae; Streptophyta; Magnoliopsida; Poales; Poaceae
Description: partial small subunit ribosomal RNA
Source: RNAcentral